Molecule: ribosomal RNA, 301 nt
Filed under: uncultured bacterium
Lineage: Bacteria
Description: partial 16S ribosomal RNA
Rfam family: Bacterial small subunit ribosomal RNA
Source: RNAcentral
CAGUCGCCGCGGUAAUGCGUAGGUGGCAAGCGUCGUCCGGAAUUAUUGGGCGUAAAGCGCGCGCAGGCGGCUUCCCAAGUCCCUCUUAAAAGUGCGGGGCUUAACCCCGUGAUGGGAAGGAAACUGGGAAGCUGGAGUAUCGGAGAGGAAAGUGGAAUUCCUAGUGUAGCGGUGAAAUGCGUAGAGAUUAGGAAGAACACCGGUGGCGAAGGCGACUUUCUGGACGAAAACUGACGCUGAGGCGCGAAAGCGUGGGGAGCAAACAGGAUUAGAUACCCCCGUAGUCCCUGUCUCUUAUACA